AGCAGCCGCGGUAAUUCCAGCUCCAAUAGCGUAUAUUAAAGUUGUUGCAGUUAAAAAGCUCGUAGUUGAACUUCGGGGUUUACCCAUUGGUCAGGCUUAAUUGUCUGUACUGGUGAGAUAAAUCUCUACCUUCUGAGGAACUUUCAUGUCAUUAAUUUGGUGUGAUUGGAAAUCAGGACUGUUACUUUGAAAAAAUUAGAGUGUUUAAAGCAGGCUAACGUCUGAAUACAUUAGCAUGGAAUAAUGAAAUAGGACGGACUGAUUCUAUUUCGUUGGUUUCUAGGAUCACCGUAAUGAUUAAUAGGGAUAGUUGGGGGCAUUAGUAUUCAAUUGUCAGAGGUGAAAUUCUUGGAUUUAUUGAAGACUAACUACUGCGAAAGCAUUUGCCAAGGAUGUUUUCAUUAAUCAAGAACGAAAGUUAGGGGAUCGAAGACGAUCAGAUACCGUCGUAGUCUUAACCAUAAACUAUGCCGACUAGGGAUCGGACGAAGUUAAUUUUAUAAUGACGCGUUCGGCACCUUAAC
This 524-nucleotide ribosomal RNA is filed under the name uncultured fungus. RNAcentral describes it as "SSU rRNA". It matches the Rfam family "Eukaryotic small subunit ribosomal RNA", at positions 569 to 1092 of the family's 1831-position model. Lineage: Eukaryota; Fungi. The record is from RNAcentral.